RNAcentral lists this long non-coding RNA (602 nucleotides) under Homo sapiens (human). RNAcentral describes it as "novel transcript". The record is from RNAcentral. Lineage: Eukaryota; Metazoa; Chordata; Mammalia; Primates; Hominidae.
UUCCAGCUGAUGGCUCCACAUCUUGGGGGAAGGCUCUGAUUUCAUGACGGGCUGGGGGCUUCUCAGGAUUCCACAGCCCAAAUGGCGGGACAGUUCAGGGGCUCCAAGACCAUCAGGAGCAUGUGGUACCCACAUCACAACCCAAGACCAUGGGGCAUCUGGACAAGGAAGGUCUAUGCACACAGGGUUCCUCAUUCAGCUGGCUUCUCCGGGUGCUGAAUGAUGGGAUCUCUCUCGGGCUCACCCCGUGCCUGUGGGAUAUGUAUUUGCUGGAAGGGGAACAGAUGUUGAUGCUGAUAACAAGCAUUGCCUUUAAGGUUCAAAGGAGGCCCUCAAGGGCACUGGAAGAGCCAGACCCAUUUGUGAGAGCCUCCACUCCUCCCUGCAAGCGCUGACAGCCUCAGAGAGCAGCAGAGGCCCCUCACUCCUGCAGACUCCUCCAAGGGUGCCAGGACAACAAGCCUUGAGCCGGGGAGACAAGGGAAUCAGUGUCUCAUUAUCUCUACCAUCUCUACCAUCUCGGAGAGGGAGAUGUGGCAGGAUAAUAGGGUAAUAGUGGGGUGAGGGUCAGCAGGAAAACAUGAACAAAUGUCUCUGUGUCA